Haliotis rufescens (red abalone) is the source of this 1355-nucleotide long non-coding RNA. RefSeq lists it as uncharacterized. The record is from RefSeq and is a predicted model, not a curated record. The transcript is spliced from 3 exons. NCBI's taxonomy places the organism in Eukaryota, Metazoa, Mollusca, Gastropoda, Lepetellida, Haliotidae.
AUGUGCUGGUGUGAUAACCCUGCCUAAGCCAUAUUAGAUUCAGCUUCAAGCCUACACUGGUGUAUAAACACACUUUGUGUCUGUCAGCUGUUGUCAUGUUACAAAAUCUAAGUGCCUGUGAACCACAUUCAGUCAUGCAGUAUUAGGGACAGACAACAUGUGUUUGGAAAGACUUGAAUCAAGCUAGGGAUGCAAAGUGGUCCCAGCUAAACCCUUCCUCAAAGUGUGCCAAGUGUUCAGCACAUGUGUACUCACUGUUUGUGGAACUGUGGAGGAUGAAGCAAAUGUUGGUGAAGAAUGUUGAGUCUGACUUGAUGCUGGUGAUCCAUGUACUCCCCGCUUCACGGUUCGACAGACAGGUGUACACCAGCCUGUGGGUGGAGGGAGAGUGUUAGUGGACAAUUGACAGACAGGUGUACACCAGCCUGUGGGUAGAGGGAGAGUGUGAGUAGACAAUCGACAGACAGGUGUUCACCAGCCUGUGGGUGGAGGGAGAGUGUGAGUGGACAGUUACCAGACAGGUGUUCACCAGCCUGUGGGUGGAGGGAGAGUGUUAGUGGCUUUUCUUGUCUGCUAGUCAGCUCCCUGGGGAGUAUACAACCAAAGCUGUGAGGCGCCAGAAGGUUAACUGUCACAUUACCAUCUCAUCCUACCGGGUACCCAUUCACUGCUGGGUGAACAGAGGCAUACUUCAAACAAAGUCACUUGUCUAAGGAGACACCACGUGUAACAUCGGCUUCAGUGUGGGGCAGGCCUGAAGCCCUAGAAACUCUCAGGAGUCAAGUUGCUGAAGACGAUUACCCAUCCAACUACUCUCUGUGACCAAUUCUGCUUAACUUCGCCUGAUUUGUGACCUGCACACUAUACAUAGGACUAAGUGCCACCACGUGCCAAUCCAGUGAUUGAUAUUGUGAGUAACAAUCCACGCCAUUGGGGUGUGAUGACAUGCAAUCAACCAAAUCAGUGAGCCUGGACACCCGAUCCAUUUACAAAAAAAGUAGUCACCUCUUACAACCAGCAUAGGUUGCUGGUGACCUAUUCUAAUCCAGAAUCCCCAUAGAUUACGAACAUAUUAAAGAACUCACAGUCACUCUUGGGGCUUUGGACUUAGCAAUCACACCAGUCAAAAUCUCCACUGCUUUGAAUUCAUCUAGGAAAGAUGCAACCUCCUAAAAAAUGAGACAAAUAUCAAAAUAUGUUCAUUAUUAUAAGGGUAACGUUAUUUUUCGGGGCAUUAUCAUUGGCAGAAACCUGAGGUCUUCCAUUAACUGCCCGAUGAAGGAGGGCAUUUGAAAAAUAGGCUUACCGUUAUUAUAGCUAAAAUAGACAGAAUUUGUCAUCCAAUAAAAAGAAAC